Molecule: long non-coding RNA, 1006 nt
Filed under: Erythranthe guttata (spotted monkey flower)
Lineage: Eukaryota; Viridiplantae; Streptophyta; Magnoliopsida; Lamiales; Phrymaceae
Description: long non-coding RNA (EGUT_LNC003613)
Source: RNAcentral
GUUCAAAAAAACUACGAGUAAAAGACUAUGUUUGUUCAGCUUGUUAUGCCCAUGUCUUCAUUUUUAUUGAUGCUCCACUUAUUCACUCAUGCUGUCAUGCACGAAGUCGGGUUCAGAAUAUCAAAAAUAGUCUAAUCCCGUGUCGUCUUUCAUCGAAAAAGAAAAGAGCAAACGUGAAGCACUUGUUUUGACUUUCCCUGUUGAGAAAUUAUAUACUGCUUCAACAACAUAAUUCGCAAAACUAGACUACACAAAUACUGUGAUUUACCCAACAGUUGCGAAUUUGUUCACACGUUAAUUAUAUAACCACAAAAUUCAUCAAACUAAACAAAACAAGAAUCCAAAAGGGAAUAAACAUAGCAGUAGCAACACAUUGUCAACAUAAACAAGCUAUUAUUUUAGGCAUAGACUUCCACACACAAUCAUUUUUUUCGGAGUUAAAAGAAGAUCCUAGAUGCAUGACCCGAUUACAGGAAAUCAACACAUGCAAUUGAAAAAAUCCCAAAAGGUAUUAGACUAUAGUAAACGCAUUAAAAAAAAGAAAGAAAGAAAGAUGUUGAAGAGUGCAACUUUCAGGUUUCAAUCUAUCAGGGUCUAUCUAGUUAGAUUCUGACCUCACAUAAAUCUACAUGGUUGUAUGCUGAGGGGGUUGGGAUUUUAAGCGCCGGUCACUAUAAUUUACGUGGGACCCACUCUAAUCAUAGUUGGAAAUGACAUGGACAUACGAAACAAACAAAUCCACGGCCUCAACAUAGCACGAUGCAGUUUAAUUUUGUAGAAACAAACGAUCAUAUGAAGCAUAUGUAAAAUUACGAAACAUAUGUGUGUAUAUAUAUAUAAUAGAAGCUUUACGAAAAGAGAACAAAAAGGAUGCAAAACUUACUAGCAAAAAUAAAGAAAGGAGUAAUCGACAUAGGUUACUUCAGUAAGUUGGGUUCCACCGUGAAUAUCUGCUCUGAAAAAAUCGACACUGUUAAAUUGAUGGACAGCAUCCGCCAUGGCGGUA